CUCCCCGGGCCCCGCCCCCGCCGCUGCCCUUCCCGGGACGGGACCCCCUCCUCGCCCGCUUGCCCCCUGCACCCCAGCGGCCCCCCUCCUUCCUCCCUGUUGCGAGUGCGCCCGAGCGUUGACUUUUCGGUGACUCCCUUUCCCCCGCCUCGCAGAGACCUUCUGUGGCUCCCCGCCCCCCCCAUCCGGCCUCUCAGACGUGGCUCCUGGAGGCAGGGGGUGGGGUGGGGGGAAGAAGGUAUAAAGGGCGGGAGACCUCGCGGGCCGAGACCCGAGACGUGGCGCGCCCACCCUGCCGGCCUCAUCUCCAGCCACGCCGCUGCCCUGCCUCCUCUGUGGAGCGGAGCCCAGAUCGCCACCCAGAAGAGGCGAAGAUGUGGCCGUAGGUCAGGAACGCCCUCAAAGGGAAACCUGGAUAUUUGUGAUCUUUACGCCACGAGGAGAUAGUGUGAAUGUCAUGAAAAACCUCCGUCCGGAAAUCGUGGUCUCCAGGCGUCUGCAUCGUCACUGGCUUUUCCUACAGAGGAGCCAGGGACGACAUAUCACAGUCCUCAACCACAGUGUUCUUGCUCCCCGGUCUUCUUUCUUUUAGAUCCAUGGCUUUUAAGGAUUCAUUGAACUGCUGGAUCAUCUGAUCAACCCCAUCAGUGUUUCUUUGUUUGCAGAUGGCCACAUUUUGGUGAAAAGAUAGGCCAUUUUAUGCCACGCUAGGAUUGCCUAGUGCUCUUUGCUGUUCACGUAUGUAAAGACCCAUGAUUACGGCUA
Felis catus (domestic cat) is the source of this 765-nucleotide long non-coding RNA. RefSeq lists it as uncharacterized. The record is from RefSeq and is a predicted model, not a curated record. NCBI's taxonomy places the organism in Eukaryota, Metazoa, Chordata, Mammalia, Carnivora, Felidae. The transcript has 2 exons.